CUACGGAACUCCUACGGGAGGCAGCAGUGGGGAAUAUUGCACAAUGGGCGAAAGCCUGAUGCAGCGACGCCGCGUGAGGGAUGACGGCCUUCGGGUUGUAAACCUCUUUCAGUAGGGAAGAAGCGAAAGUGACGGUACCUGCAGAAGAAGCACCGGCUAACUACGUGCCAGCAGCCGCGGUAAUACGUAGGGUGCGAGCGUUAUCCGGAAUUAUUGGGCGUAAAGAGCUCGUAGGCGGUUUGUCGCGUCUGUCGUGAAAGUCCGGGGCUUAACCCCGGAUCUGCGGUGGGUACGGGCAGACUAGAGUGCAGUAGGGGAGACUGGAAUUCCUGGUGUAGCGGUGGAAUGCGCAGAUAUCAGGAGGAACACCGAUGGCGAAGGCAGGUCUCUGGGCUGUAACUGACGCUGAGGAGCGAAAGCAUGGGGAGCGAACAGGAUUAGAAACCCUGGUAGUCCUCUUCGA
RNAcentral lists this ribosomal RNA (463 nucleotides) under uncultured bacterium. RNAcentral describes it as "bacterial SSU rRNA". It matches the Rfam family "Bacterial small subunit ribosomal RNA", at positions 328 to 803 of the family's 1533-position model. The record is from RNAcentral.